GACGAACGCUGGCGGCGUGCUUAACACAUGCAAGUCGAACGGAAAGGCCCUGCUUUUGUGGGGUGCUCGAGUGGCGAACGGGUGAGUAACACGUGAGUAACCUGCCCUUGACUUUGGGAUAACUUCAGGAAACUGGGGCUAAUACCGGAUAGGAGCUCCUGCUGCAUGGUGGGGGUUGGAAAGUUUCGGCGGUUGGGGAUGGACUCGCGGCUUAUCAGCUUGUUGGUGGGGUAGUGGCUUACCAAGGCUUUGACGGGUAGCCGGCCUGAGAGGGUGAACGGCCACAUUGGGACUGAGAGACGGCCCAGACUCCUACGGGAGGCAGCAGUGGGGAAUAUUGCACAAUGGGCGGAAGCCUGAUGCAGAAACGCCGCGUGCGGGAUGACGGCCUUCGGGUUGUAAACCGCUUUCGCCUGUGACGAAGCGUGAGUGACGGUAAUGGGUAAAGAAGCACCGGCUAACUACGUG
Molecule: ribosomal RNA, 468 nt
Filed under: uncultured bacterium
Lineage: Bacteria
Description: partial 16S ribosomal RNA
Rfam family: Bacterial small subunit ribosomal RNA
Source: RNAcentral